CAAGGCUUGACAUAUACCGGAAAAGUUCAGAAAUGUUCUCCCCGCAAGGUCGGUAUACAGGUGGUGCAUGGUUGUCGUCAGCUCGUGUCGUGAGAUGUUGGGUUAAGUCCCGCAACGAGCGCAACCCUCGUUCUAUGUUGCCAGCACGUAAUGGUGGGAACUCAUAGGAGACUGCCGGGGUCAACUCGGAGGAAGGUGGGGAUGACGUCAAAUCAUCAUGCCCCCUAUGUCUUGGGCUUCACGCAUGCUACAAUGGCCGAUACAAAGGGCUGCAAUACCGUAAGGUGGAGCGAAUCCCAAAAAGUCGGUCUCAGUUCGGAUUGAGGUCUGCAACUCGACCUCAUGAAGUCGGAGUCGCUAGUAAUCGCAGAUCAGCAACGCUGCGGUGAAUACGUUCCC
This 399-nucleotide ribosomal RNA is filed under the name uncultured bacterium. RNAcentral's name for it is "bacterial SSU rRNA". It matches the Rfam family "Bacterial small subunit ribosomal RNA", at positions 975 to 1375 of the family's 1533-position model. The record is from RNAcentral.